CUUCAACUGAAGAGUUUGAUCAUGGCUCAGAUUGAACGCUGGCGGCAGGCCUAACACAUGCAAGUCGAGCGCG
Molecule: ribosomal RNA, 73 nt
Filed under: Puniceispirillum sp. (SeqCode)
Lineage: Bacteria; Pseudomonadati; Pseudomonadota; Alphaproteobacteria; Puniceispirillales (SeqCode); Puniceispirillaceae (SeqCode)
Description: Candidatus Puniceispirillum sp. partial 16S ribosomal RNA
Rfam family: Bacterial small subunit ribosomal RNA
Source: RNAcentral